This 382-nucleotide ribosomal RNA is filed under the name uncultured Glomeromycotina. Its description in RNAcentral is "LSU rRNA". Lineage: Eukaryota; Fungi; Glomeromycota. The record is from RNAcentral.
UUGAAAGGGAAACGAUUGAAGUCAGUCGUACCGACGAGAAAUCAGCUCUUUGAGUGCGUUCUUGUGGGCGUGUGAGAGUCUUUAACGGCCCUCGCUGUUUGCAUGUUUGUGCUUUUUGGGUGUACUUUUUCGUAUGGUAGGCCAACGUCAGUUUCGAUUACCAUAAAAUGAUCAGAGGAAUGUAGCUUCGAUUUCGAUUGAAGUGUUAUAGCCCUUGGUAGAUGUGGUAAUCGAAACUGAGGAUUGCAACGAAUACCCUUUUGGGGCUAUCCGUCUGACCUCUGAAAGUUACUUAGGUGCCGAAAGCUUGCUUACGGUUAUCUAAGUUGGCGGUCAAUAGGUUAGAACGUGAUUACAUUCGUUAAGGAUGUUGACGUAAGUC